Molecule: non-coding RNA, 24 nt
Filed under: Arabidopsis thaliana (thale cress)
Lineage: Eukaryota; Viridiplantae; Streptophyta; Magnoliopsida; Brassicales; Brassicaceae
Source: RNAcentral
CCCCUUUUAAAAUCCCUUGUAAAU